UACGGGGGAGCAAGCGUUGUUCGGAUUUACUGGACGUAAAGGGCGCGGUAGGCGGUCGUGACAAGUCACUUGUGAAAUCUCCGGGCUUAACUCGGAACGGUCAAGUGAUACUGUCGGACUAGAGUACAGAAGGGGCAACUGGAAUUCUCGGUGUAGCGGUGAAAUGCGUAGAUAUCGAGAGGAACACCUGCGGCGAAGGCGGGUUGCUGGGCUGAUACUGACGCUGAGGCACGAAAGCGUGGGGAGCAAACAGG
RNAcentral lists this ribosomal RNA (254 nucleotides) under uncultured bacterium. Its description in RNAcentral is "partial 16S ribosomal RNA". It matches the Rfam family "Bacterial small subunit ribosomal RNA", at positions 524 to 776 of the family's 1533-position model. The record is from RNAcentral.